Molecule: ribosomal RNA, 388 nt
Filed under: uncultured bacterium
Lineage: Bacteria
Description: bacterial SSU rRNA
Rfam family: Bacterial small subunit ribosomal RNA
Source: RNAcentral
GUUGUAAAGCUCUUUCAGCAGGAACGAAACGGUAUAGGUUAAUACCCUGUGCUAAUGACGGUACCUGCAGAAGAAGCACCGGCUAACUACGUGCCAGCAGCCGCGGUAAUACGUAGGGUGCGAGCGUUAAUCGGAAUUACUGGGCGUAAAGCGUGCGCAGGCGGAUUGUUAAGCAAGACGUGAAAUCCCCGGGCUUAACCUGGGAAUGGCGUUUUGAACUGGCAGUCUAGAGUGUGUCAGAGGGGGGUAGAAUUCCACGUGUAGCAGUGAAAUGCGUAGAGAUGUGGAGGAAUACCGAUGGCGAAGGCAGCCCCCUGGGAUAACACUGACGCUCAUGUACGAAAGCGUGGGUAGCAAACAGGAUUAGAUACCCCAGUAGUCCAAGCCG